UUAAGUUAUUAAGGGCGCACGGUGGAUGCCUUGGCACUAGAAGCCGAUGAAGGACGUUACUAACGACGAUAUGCUUUGGGGAGCUGUAAGUAAGCUUUGAUCCAGAGAUUUCCGAAUGGGGAAACCCAGCAUGAGUUAUGUCAUGUUAUCGAUAUGUGAAUACAUAGCAUAUCAGAAGGCACACCCGGAGAACUGAAACAUCUUAGUACCCGGAGGAAGAGAAAGAAAAUUCGAUUCCCUUAGUAGCGGCGAGCGAAACGGGAAGAGCCCAAACCAACAAGCUUGCUUGUUGGGGUUGUAGGACACUCUAUACGGAGUUACAAAGGACGACAUUAGACGAAUCAUCUGGAAAGAUGAAUCAAAGAAGGUAAUAAUCCUGUAGUCGAAAAUGUUGUCUCUCUUGAGUGGAUCCUGAGUACGACGGAGCACGUGAAAUUCCGUCGGAAUCUGGGAGGACCAUCUCCUAAGGCUAAAUACUCUCUAGUGACCGAUAGUGAACCAGUACCGUGAGGGAAAGGUGAAAAGCACCCCGGAAGGGGAGUGAAAUAGAACCUGAAACCGUGUGCUUACAAGUAGUCAGAGCCCGUUAAUGGGUGAUGGCGUGCCUUUUGUAGAAUGAACCGGCGAGUUACGAUUUGAUGCAAGGUUAAGCAGUAAAUGUGGAGCCGUAGCGAAAGCGAGUCUGAAUAGGGCGUUUAGUAUUUGGUCGUAGACCCGAAACCAGGUGAUCUACCCUUGGUCAGGUUGAAGUUCAGGUAACACUGAAUGGAGGACCGAACCGACUUACGUUGAAAAGUGAGCGGAUGAACUGAGGGUAGCGGAGAAAUUCCAAUCGAACCUGGAGAUAGCUGGUUCUCUCCGAAAUAGCUUUAGGGCUAGCCUCAAGUGAUGAUUAUUGGAGGUAGAGCACUGUUUGGACGAGGGGCCCCUCUCGGGUUACCGAAUUCAGACAAACUCCGAAUGCCAAUUAAUUUAACUUGGGAGUCAGAACAUGGGUGAUAAGGUCCGUGUUCGAAAGGGAAACAGCCCAGACCACCAGCUAAGGUCCCAAAAUAUAUGUUAAGUGGAAAAGGAUGUGGCGUUGCCCAGACAACUAGGAUGUUGGCUUAGAAGCAGCCAUCAUUUAAAGAGUGCGUAAUAGCUCACUAGUCGAGUGACACUGCGCCGAAAAUGUACCGGGGCUAAACAUAUUACCGAAGCUGUGGAUUGUCCUUUGGACAAUGGUAGGAGAGCGUUCUAAGGGCGUUGAAGCAUGAUCGUAAGGACAUGUGGAGCGCUUAGAAGUGAGAAUGCCGGUGUGAGUAGCGAAAGACGGGUGAGAAUCCCGUCCACCGAUUGACUAAGGUUUCCAGAGGAAGGCUCGUCCGCUCUGGGUUAGUCGGGUCCUAAGCUGAGGCCGACAGGCGUAGGCGAUGGAUAACAGGUUGAUAUUCCUGUACCACCUAUAAUCGUUUUAAUCGAUGGGGGGACGCAGUAGGAUAGGCGAAGCGUGCGAUUGGAUUGCACGUCUAAGCAGUAAGGCUGAGUAUUAGGCAAAUCCGGUACUCGUUAAGGCUGAGCUGUGAUGGGGAGAAGACAUUGUGUCUUCGAGUCGUUGAUUUCACACUGCCGAGAAAAGCCUCUAGAUAGAAAAUAGGUGCCCGUACCGCAAACCGACACAGGUAGUCAAGAUGAGAAUUCUAAGGUGAGCGAGCGAACUCUCGUUAAGGAACUCGGCAAAAUGACCCCGUAACUUCGGGAGAAGGGGUGCUCUUUAGGGUUAACGCCCAGAAGAGCCGCAGUGAAUAGGCCCAAGCGACUGUUUAUCAAAAACACAGGUCUCUGCUAAACCGUAAGGUGAUGUAUAGGGGCUGACGCCUGCCCGGUGCUGGAAGGUUAAGAGGAGUGGUUAGCUUCUGCGAAGCUACGAAUCGAAGCCCCAGUAAACGGCGGCCGUAACUAUAACGGUCCUAAGGUAGCGAAAUUCCUUGUCGGGUAAGUUCCGACCCGCACGAAAGGCGUAACGAUUUGGGCACUGUCUCAACGAGAGACUCGGUGAAAUCAUAGUACCUGUGAAGAUGCAGGUUACCCGCGACAGGACGGAAAGACCCCGUGGAGCUUUACUGUAGCCUGAUAUUGAAAUUCGGCACAGCUUGUACAGGAUAGGUAGGAGCCUUUGAAACGUGAGCGCUAGCUUACGUGGAGGCGCUGGUGGGAUACUACCCUAGCUGUGUUGGCUUUCUAACCCGCACCACUUAUCGUGGUGGGAGACAGUGUCAGGCGGGCAGUUUGACUGGGGCGGUCGCCUCCUAAAAGGUAACGGAGGCGCUCAAAGGUUCCCUCAGAAUGGUUGGAAAUCAUUCAUAGAGUGUAAAGGCAUAAGGGAGCUUGACUGCGAGACCUACAAGUCGAGCAGGGUCGAAAGACGGACUUAGUGAUCCGGUGGUUCCGCAUGGAAGGGCCAUCGCUCAACGGAUAAAAGCUACCCCGGGGAUAACAGGCUUAUCUCCCCCAAGAGUUCACAUCGACGGGGAGGUUUGGCACCUCGAUGUCGGCUCAUCGCAUCCUGGGGCUGUAGUCGGUCCCAAGGGUUGGGCUGUUCGCCCAUUAAAGCGGUACGCGAGCUGGGUUCAGAACGUCGCGAGACAGUUCGGUCCCUAUCCGUCGUGGGCGUAGGAAAUUUGAGAGGAGCUGUCCUUAGUACGAGAGGACCGGGAUGGACAUACCUCUGGUGUACCAGUUGUCGUGCCAACGGCAUAGCUGGGUAGCUAUGUGUGGACGGGAUAAGUGCUGAAAGCAUCUAAGCAUGAAGCCCCCCUCAAGAUGAGAUUUCCCAACUUCGGUUAUAAGAUCCCUCAAAGAUGAUGAGGUUAAUAGGUUCGAGGUGGAAGCAUGGUGACAUGUGGAGCUGACGAAUACUAAUCGAUCGAAGACUUAAUCAA
This 2921-nucleotide ribosomal RNA is filed under the name Staphylococcus aureus MISS6020. Its description in RNAcentral is "bacterial LSU rRNA". It matches the Rfam family "Bacterial large subunit ribosomal RNA". The record is from RNAcentral. Lineage: Bacteria; Bacillati; Bacillota; Bacilli; Caryophanales; Staphylococcaceae.